UUUAAUAAGCCAUGAAGCUAAUUUUUUUAUAGGGAGGUUUAAUGAUCUUGGUAAAAGUAAGUUUUGUUGUGGUAAUUUUUUUUUUUUAUUAUUCGGAUAUUGUAAUUAUCCACCUUAAUUAUUAGUGUGAUUAUAAUGACUAAGUUAAUUUUAAUUAUUAUAAAUUAAAUUAUAAUAAAUGUUAAAUUUUAAUUAUUAAUUUAA
RNAcentral lists this long non-coding RNA (204 nucleotides) under Carica papaya (papaya). RNAcentral describes it as "long non-coding RNA (CPAP_LNC002123)". The record is from RNAcentral. Lineage: Eukaryota; Viridiplantae; Streptophyta; Magnoliopsida; Brassicales; Caricaceae.